RNAcentral lists this ribosomal RNA (465 nucleotides) under uncultured Desulfobulbus sp. RNAcentral describes it as "bacterial SSU rRNA". It matches the Rfam family "Bacterial small subunit ribosomal RNA", at positions 923 to 1382 of the family's 1533-position model. Lineage: Bacteria; Pseudomonadati; Thermodesulfobacteriota; Desulfobulbia; Desulfobulbales; Desulfobulbaceae. The record is from RNAcentral.
GCACAAGCGGUGGAGUAUGUGGUUUAAUUCGAUGCAACGCGAAGAACCUUACCUGGUCUUGACAUCCCGGAGACCCUUAGGAAACUAGGGGGUGCUUCCAUCUGAAAGAAUCUGGAGACAGGUGCUGCAUGGCUGUCGUCAGCUCGUGUCGUGAGAUGUUGGGUUAAGUCCCGCAACGAGCGCAACCCUUGCCUUUAGUUGCCAGCAGUUCGGCUGGGCACUCUAAAGGGACUGCCGGUGUUAAACCGGAGGAAGGUGGGGAUGACGUCAAGUCCUCAUGGCCUUUAUGACCAGGGCUACACACGUACUACAAUGGCCGAUACAAAGGGCAGCGACACUGCGAGGUGAAGCCAAUCCCGUAAAAUCGGUCUCAGUCCGGAUUGGAGUCUGCAACUCGACUCCAUGAAGUUGGAAUCGCUAGUAAUCGUGGAUCAGCAUGCCACGGUGAAUACGUUCCCGGGCCUU